Molecule: ribosomal RNA, 253 nt
Filed under: uncultured bacterium
Lineage: Bacteria
Description: partial 16S ribosomal RNA
Rfam family: Bacterial small subunit ribosomal RNA
Source: RNAcentral
UACAGAGGGGGCAAGCGUUGUUCGGAAUUACUGGGCGUAAAGGGCGCGUAGGCGGCCUGUUAAGUCGAACGUGAAAUCCCCGGGCUCAACCCGGGAACUGCGUCCGAUACUGGCAGGCUUGAAUCCGGGAGAGGGAUGUGGAAUUCCAGGUGUAGCGGUGAAAUGCGUAGAUAUCUGGAGGAACAUCAGUGGCGAAGGCGACACCCUGGACUCAUACUGACACUGAGAGACGAAAGCUAGGGGAGCGAAUGGG